CAAUGGAGGAAACUCUGAUGCAGCGAUGCCGCGUGAGUGAAGAAGGCCCUUGGGUUGUAAAGCUCUUUCGUCGGGGAAGAAAAUGACUGUACCCGAAUAAGAAGGUCCGGCUAACUUCGUGCCAGCAGCCGCGGUAAUACGAAGGGACCUAGCGUAGUUCGGAAUUACUGGGCUUAAAGAGUUCGUAGGUGGUUGAAAAAGUUAGUGGUGAAAUCCCAGAGCUUAACUCUGGAACUGCCAUUAAAACUUUUCAGCUAGAGUAUGAUAGAGGAAAGCAGAAUUUCUAGUGUAGAGGUGAAAUUCGUAGAUAUUAGAAAGAAUACCAAUUGCGAAGGCAGCUUUCUGGAUCAUUACUGACACUGAGGAACGAAAGCAUGGGUAGCGAAGAGGAUUAGAUACCCUCGUAGUCCAUGCCGUAAACGAUGUGUGUUAGACGUUGGAAAUUUAUUUUCAGUGUCGCAGGGAAACCGAUAAACACACCGCCUGGGGAGUACGACCGCAAGGUUAAAACUCAAAUGAAUUGACGGGGACCCGCACAAGUAGUGGAGCAUGUGGUUUAAUUCGAAGAUACGCGCAGAACCUUACCAACACUUGAUAUGUUCGUCGCGACUCUAAGAGAUUAGAGUUUUCGGUUCGGCCGGACGAAACACAGGUGCUGCAUGGCUGUCGUCAGCUCGUGUCGUGAGAUGUUGGGUUAAGUCCCGCAACGAGCGCAACCCUCACUUUUAGUUGCCAUCAUUAAGUUGGGCACUCUGAAAGAACUGCCAGUGAUAAACUGGAGGAAGGUGGGGAUGACCUCAAGUCCUCAUGGCCCUUA
This 817-nucleotide ribosomal RNA is filed under the name uncultured Alphaproteobacteria bacterium. Its description in RNAcentral is "bacterial SSU rRNA". It matches the Rfam family "Bacterial small subunit ribosomal RNA", at positions 369 to 1204 of the family's 1533-position model. Lineage: Bacteria; Pseudomonadati; Pseudomonadota; Alphaproteobacteria. The record is from RNAcentral.